Molecule: ribosomal RNA, 500 nt
Filed under: uncultured bacterium
Lineage: Bacteria
Description: partial 16S ribosomal RNA
Rfam family: Bacterial small subunit ribosomal RNA
Source: RNAcentral
AUUGAACGCUGGCGGAAUGCUUUACACAUGCAAGUCGAACGGCAGCACGGACUUCGGUCUGGUGGCGAGUGGCGAACGGGUGAGUAAUGUAUCGGAACGUGCCCAGUCGUGGGGGAUAACGUAGUGAAAAUUACGCUAAUACCGCAUACGAUCUAUGGAUGAAAGCGGGGGAUCGCAAGACCUCGCGCGAUUGGAGCGGCCGAUAUCAGAUUAGGUAGUUGGUGGGGUAAAGGCCCACCAAGCCCACGAUCUGUAGCUGGUCUGAGAGGACGACCAGCCACACUGGAACUGAGACACAGUCCAGACUCCUACGGGAGGCAGCAGUGGGGAAUUUUGGACAAUGGGCGAAAGCCUGAUCCAGCCAUUCCGCGUGCAGGAUGAGGGCCCUCGGGUUGUAAACUGCUUUUGUACAGAACGAAAAGGUUUCUACUAAUACUAGGAGCUCAUGACGGUACUGUAAGAAUAAGCACCGGCUAACUACGUGCCAGCCGCCGCGGUAA